UACGUAGGGGGCAAGCGUUGUCCGGAUUUAUUGGGCGUAAAGAGCGUGUAGGCGGUUUGGUAGGUCCGUUGUGAAAACUCGAGGCUCAACCUCGAGACGCCGAUGGAAACCAUCAGACUAGAGUCCGGAAGAGGAGAGUGGAAUUCCUGGUGUAGCGGUGAAAUGCGCAGAAUAUCAGGAAGAACACCCGUGGCUAAGGCGGGUCUCUGGGCAGUGAACUGACGCUGAGGAGCGAAAGCGUGGGGAGCGAACAGG
RNAcentral lists this ribosomal RNA (255 nucleotides) under uncultured bacterium. RNAcentral's name for it is "partial 16S ribosomal RNA". It matches the Rfam family "Bacterial small subunit ribosomal RNA", at positions 524 to 776 of the family's 1533-position model. The record is from RNAcentral.